GGGCUGCAGUAUUUUGACUGUACAAAGGUAGCAUAAUCAAUAGUCUUUUAAUUGGUGACUUGUAUGAAAGAUUGGAUGAAAUAUAUACUGUCUCUAAAUAAUUUUUAGAAAUUAAUUUUUUAGUUAAAAAGCUAAAAUAAUUUUAAAAGACGAGAAGACCCUAUAGAGUUUAAUAAUUUAUUUUAUUGUUAUUAUUAUAUAAUUUUUAAAAUUAAAAUUAAGUAAAUUAUUUUGUUGGGGUGAUAAAAAAAUUAAAUUAACUUUUUUUAGUUUUUUACAUUGAUUUAUGAUUAUAUGAUCCAUUAAUAGUGAUAAAAAGAAAAAAUUACCUUAGGGAUAACAGCGUAAUUUUUUUUUUUAGUUCAAAUAGGAAAAAAAGUUUGCGACCUCGAUGUUGGAUU
RNAcentral lists this ribosomal RNA (401 nucleotides) under Papilio mahadeva mehala. RNAcentral's name for it is "partial 16S ribosomal RNA". The record is from RNAcentral. Lineage: Eukaryota; Metazoa; Arthropoda; Insecta; Lepidoptera; Papilionidae.